This 507-nucleotide ribosomal RNA is filed under the name Branchiomaldane sp. 'C. Bleidorn 01ARE008 (P)'. RNAcentral describes it as "partial 16S ribosomal RNA". It matches the Rfam family "Bacterial large subunit ribosomal RNA", at positions 1860 to 2620 of the family's 2925-position model. The record is from RNAcentral. Lineage: Eukaryota; Metazoa; Annelida; Polychaeta; Arenicolidae.
UGCCCAGUGACUUACAGUUUAACGGCCGCGGUGUAACUCCCGUGCUAAGGUAGCAUAUAAUAUACCCUUUAAUUGAGGGAUAGAAUGAACGGAUAAACGCAAACAUAACUGUCUCUAUUGUAAUUAUUAAAACUAGCCCUCAGGUGAAGAGACCUGAAUAAAUCUAAAAGACAAAAAGACCCUGUAGAGCUUCAUUAAUUUAGGCCUAAAUAAAAAAUAAAAUAAUAUAUUUUUCUUAUAGCCCUUUUAAUUUGACUGGGGCGGUCAAAGAAUAUAAAAACUUCUUUAUAUAUAAAGGAAAAUAAUCCUAUAUACUAUGUCAAGAUCCUUUAUUGAUUAUAAAACCUAGCUACCUCAGGGAUAACAGACUAAUUUCUUCCAAGAGCACACAUUGAAGAAGAAGUUUGGCACCUCGAUGUUGGCUUAGAAUCCCCAAAAAGUAGCAGAAGCUUUUAUGGUGGGUUUGUUCAACCCAUAAAAUUCUACGUGAUCUGAGUUCAGACCCGA